AUGAGGUGUGGAUAGCGGAGAAAUUCCAAUCGAACUCGGAUAUAGCUGGUUCUCUCCGAAAUAGCUUUAGGGCUAGCCUCGUGAAAGAUUACUGGAGGUAAAGCACUGAAUGGGCUAGGGGUCGAAAGAUUACUGAACCCUAUCAAACUAAGAAUGCCAGAUAAUUGAUUCACGGGAGUCAGACAAUGUGAGAUAAGUCUCAUUGUCAAAAGGGAAACAGCCCAGACCCACAGCUAAGGUCCCAAAACAUUGUUAAGUGGAAAAGGAUGUGGGGUUGCAUAAACAACCAGGAUGUUGGCUUAGAAGCAGCCACUCAUUAAAAGAGUGCGUAAUAGCUCACUGGUCGAGUGACCCUGCGCCGAAAAUUUAACGGGGCUAAAUCAUACACCGAAGCUUGGGAUUCCGAAAGGAAUGGUAGGAGAGCGUCGAAUAAGGGGUGAAGUCAGAGCGGAAGCGCUGGUGGACUUUAUUCGAGUGAGAAUGCCGGAAUGAGUAGCGAGAAUUAUGUGAGAAUCAUAAUGGCCGAAAAUCUAAGGUUUCCUGAGGAAGGUUCGUCCGCUCAGGGUAAGCCGGGAGCUAAGGCGAGGCGGAGACGCGUAGCCGAUGCACAUACGGUUGAAAUUCCGUAGCCACCGAAAGAUUUAAGUACAGGGACGCUUUAGAAGUGAUGUUGCCGGGCGAUGGUUGACCCGGUCGUAAGGGAUCGAAAAUGAGUAGAGAAGUCAUCAUGGAAAGAGACAAGAAAAGCUGUAUGAAUAUCUUAGGUGCCCGUACCGCAAACCGACACAGGUAGAUAGGAAGAAGAUUCUAAGGCCAACGGGAGAAGGGUUGUUAAGGAACUCGGCAAGUUGACCCCGUAACUUAGGGAUAAGGGGUGCUCAAGUGAUUGAGCCGCAGAGAAUAGGCCCAGGCGACUGUUUAGCAAAAACACAGGUCUCUGCUAAAUCGAAAGAUGACGUAUAGGGGCUGACACCUGCCCGGUGCCGGAAGGUUAAGAGGAGAUGUGAGAGCAUUGAAUUGAAGCCCCGGUAAACGGCGGCCGUAACAAUAACGGUCCUAAGGUAGCGAAAUUCCUUGUCAGGUAAGUUCUGACCCGCACGAAAGGUGUAACGAUCUGGGCACUGUCUCAACAACCCGCCCGGCGAAAUUGUAGUACCGGUGAAGAUGCCGGUUACCCGCGACUAGACGGAAAGACCCCAUGGAGCUUUACUGUAGCCUAAUAUUGGAUUUCGGUAUUUCACGUACAGGAUAGGUGGGAGACUGGGAAGCACAGGCGUCAGCUUGUGUGGAGUCGACCUUGGGAUACCACUCUUGGAGUGCUGGAAUUCUAACCUGCGGCUUUGAAGCAAGUCGGGGGACAUUGUUAGGUGGGCAGUUUGACUGGGGCGGUCGCCUCCUAAAGAGUAACGGAGGCGCUCAAAGGUUCGCUCUGCAUGGAUGGAAACCAUGCGUCAGAGUGUAAACGCAAAAGCGAGCCUAACUGCGAGAAUGACGGUUCGAGCAGUAACGAAAGUUGGAGUUAGUGAUCCGGCGGUAUGUGAAUGGAAAUGCCGUCGCUCAACGGAUAAAAGCUACCCUGGGGAUAACAGGCUGAUCUCCCCCAAGAGUCCACAUCGACGGGGAGGUUUGGCACCUCGAUGUCGGCUCAUCGCAUCCUGGGGCUGAAUUCGGUCCCAAGGGUUUGGCUGUUCGCCAAUUAAAGCGGUACGCGAGCUGGGUU
This 1720-nucleotide ribosomal RNA is filed under the name human gut metagenome. RNAcentral describes it as "bacterial LSU rRNA". It matches the Rfam family "Bacterial large subunit ribosomal RNA", at positions 804 to 2611 of the family's 2925-position model. The record is from RNAcentral.